This 880-nucleotide ribosomal RNA is filed under the name Staphylococcus aureus. RNAcentral describes it as "partial 23S ribosomal RNA". It matches the Rfam family "Bacterial large subunit ribosomal RNA", at positions 1542 to 2419 of the family's 2925-position model. The record is from RNAcentral. Lineage: Bacteria; Bacillati; Bacillota; Bacilli; Caryophanales; Staphylococcaceae.
CCGGUACUCAUUAAGGCUGAGCUGUGAUGGGGAGAAGACAUUGUGUCUUCGAGUCGUUGAUUUCACACUGCCGAGAAAAGCCUCUAGAUAGAAAAUAGGUGCCCGUACCGCAAACCGACACAGGUAGUCAAGAUGAGAAUUCUAAGGUGAGCGAGCGAACUCUCGUUAAGGAACUCGGCAAAAUGACCCCGUAACUUCGGGAGAAGGGGUGCUCUUUAGGGUUAACGCCCAGAAGAGCCGCAGUGAAUAGGCCCAAGCGACUGUUUAUCAAAAACACAGGUCUCUGCUAAACCGUAAGGUGAUGUAUAGGGGCUGACGCCUGCCCGGUGCUGGAAGGUUAAGAGGAGUGGUUAGCUUCUGCGAAGCUACGAAUCGAAGCCCCAGUAAACGGCGGCCGUAACUAUAACGGUCCUAAGGUAGCGAAAUUCCUUGUCGGGUAAGUUCCGACCCGCACGAAAGGCGUAACGAUUUGGGCACUGUCUCAACGAGAGACUCGGUGAAAUCAUAGUACCUGUGAAGAUGCAGGUUACCCGCGACAGGACGGAAAGACCCCGUGGAGCUUUACUGUAGCCUGAUAUUGAAAUUCGGCACAGCUUGUACAGGAUAGGUAGGAGCCUUUGAAACGUGAGCGCUAGCUUACGUGGAGGCGCUGGUGGGAUACUACCCUAGCUGUGUUGGCUUUCUAACCCGCACCACUUAUCGUGGUGGGAGACAGUGUCAGGCGGGCAGUUUGACUGGGGCGGUCGCCUCCUAAAAGGUAACGGAGGCGCUCAAAGGUUCCCUCAGAAUGGUUGGAAAUCAUUCAUAGAGUGUAAAGGCAUAAGGGAGCUUGACUGCGAGACCUACAAGUCGAGCAGGGUCGAAAGACGGACUUAGUGAU